UUGCAUAAACAAUUUUGUUAUUAGAGUAUUUUAUUCUAAUGUCUUUUAAAUAAGAAAAACACAAAUUGAGUAAUUUUUAUAAUUUUUAAAAAUUCGUUUACA
Molecule: ribosomal RNA, 102 nt
Filed under: Tricholoma fulvum
Lineage: Eukaryota; Fungi; Basidiomycota; Agaricomycetes; Agaricales; Tricholomataceae
Description: partial small subunit ribosomal RNA
Source: RNAcentral